This 277-nucleotide long non-coding RNA is filed under the name Vigna radiata. RNAcentral describes it as "long non-coding RNA (VRAD_LNC015292)". The record is from RNAcentral. Lineage: Eukaryota; Viridiplantae; Streptophyta; Magnoliopsida; Fabales; Fabaceae.
AGUUGGUACAUUUUAGCAAUGUGUACUGGAUUUUAGUAGACAAAAAUAUCCUUAUGUACCAUGAAUUAUAAGUUUUAAGGUUAAGGGUAUUUUAAUAAUUUUCAUCCUCAAAACUAAUAAAAAAAAACUAUCAAACCCUUACUCACCUCCCUCAUUUCUCUCAAUCAAUUCUCUUUCAUCUCUCUCACUCCAAAAUGUUCUCUGUCAUCCCUAGUAGUUCUAAUUGAAAAAAAUCAAAAACACUUGCCUAACUCUAAUCCACUUUCCUCACUUAUCC